RNAcentral lists this ribosomal RNA (510 nucleotides) under Fulvius breddini. RNAcentral describes it as "partial 16S ribosomal RNA". It matches the Rfam family "Bacterial large subunit ribosomal RNA", at positions 1829 to 2597 of the family's 2925-position model. Lineage: Eukaryota; Metazoa; Arthropoda; Insecta; Hemiptera; Miridae. The record is from RNAcentral.
AACCUUUUGAUUACCAUAUCAGAUUGGCCCUGCCCUAUGGUAAAUUACUAAAUGGCUGCAGUAUUUCGACUGUACAAAGGUAGCAUAAUCAUUUGUCCUUUAAUUGAGGACUGGGAUGAAAGGUCUGAUGAAAAAUACACUUUCUUUAUUUUAUAGAUAAAAAUUGACUUUUAAGUUAAAAGGCUUAAAUACCAUUAAGGGACGAGAAGACCCUGUAGAACUUUAUACUAUAAUUAUGCUUUGAAAUUUGUUGAUGGGUUUAAUACAUAAUUGUUCAGUAUUUUGUUGGGGUGAUAAAAAAAACAAAAUAACUUUUUUUGUGGAUAACAUAUAUAUAUGUUUAGCUGAUCCAGAAUUUUCUGAAUAAAAGACUAAGUUACCUCAGGGAUAACAGCGGGAUUACUUUGGAGAGUUCAAAUCGAUAGAGUAGUUUGCGACCUCGAGGGGGGAUUAAAAUAAAUAUGGGAUGUAGCAGUUUUAGUAUUAAGUCUGUUCCACUUUUAAAUUUUU